RNAcentral lists this ribosomal RNA (257 nucleotides) under uncultured bacterium. RNAcentral describes it as "partial 16S ribosomal RNA". It matches the Rfam family "Bacterial small subunit ribosomal RNA", at positions 524 to 777 of the family's 1533-position model. The record is from RNAcentral.
UACGUAGGGGGCAAGCGUUGUCCGGAUUUAUUGGGCGUAAAGAGCGUGUAGGCGGCCUUACAGGUCAGCUGUGAAAACUCGAGGCUCAACCUCGAGACGUCGGUUGAAACCGUAAGGCUAGAGUCCGGAAGAGGAGAGUGGAAUUCCCGGUGUAGCGGUGAAAUGCGCAGAUAUCGGGGAAGAACACCCGUGGCGAAGGCGGCUCUCUGGGACGGUACUGACGCGUGAGACGGCGAAAGCGUGGGGAGCGAACGAGG